This 424-nucleotide ribosomal RNA is filed under the name uncultured bacterium. RNAcentral describes it as "partial 16S ribosomal RNA". It matches the Rfam family "Bacterial small subunit ribosomal RNA", at positions 360 to 776 of the family's 1533-position model. The record is from RNAcentral.
AAUCUUCCACAAUGGGCGAGAGCCUGAUGGAGCAACGCCGCGUGAGUGAAGAAGGUUUUCGGAUCGUAAAACUCUGUUGUAAGGGAAGAACAAGUACAGUAGUAACUGGCUGUACCUUGACGGUACCUUAUUAGAAAGCCACGGCUAACUACGUGCCAGCAGCCGGGGUAAUACGUAGGUUGCAAGUGUUGUCCGGAAUUAUUGGGAGUAAAGCGCGCGCAGGGGGUCCUUUAAGUCUGAUAUGAAAGCCCACGGCUCAACCGUGGAGGGUCAUUGGAAACUGGGGGACUUGAGUGCAGAAGAGGAGAGUGGAAUUCCAAGUGUAGCGGUGAAGUGCGUAGAGAUUUGGAGGAACACCAGUGGCGAAGGCGACUUUCUGGUCUGUAACUGACGCUGAGGCGCGAAAGCGUGGGGAGCAAACAGG